ACACUAUGGUCUGGAAGAUGCAUCUUUUAGCAAAGCUCCUUUCUGAAGAGUCCCACAUUGUAACCCAGAACCAAGCUAACAUCAACUCACAGAGAUACCCCUGCCUCGGAGUGCUGGGAUUACAGGUAAAAAGGUGUGGACAUGUUGGAGAAUGCCUUCAAUCCAAGCAUUGGGUGAGUAGACAGGACUAUCUACCAGGCUCUCUAACCAAACCACCUACCUUAACCAGGGAGCACAGGUCCCAAUGACACCCUGCCUCAAAACCAAGAUGGCACUUAAGGAAUGAUGACACCUAAGGCCACA
This 303-nucleotide long non-coding RNA is filed under the name Cricetulus griseus (Chinese hamster). RNAcentral's name for it is "lncRNA (ENSCGRG00015038204.1)". The record is from RNAcentral. Lineage: Eukaryota; Metazoa; Chordata; Mammalia; Rodentia; Cricetidae.